Molecule: ribosomal RNA, 253 nt
Filed under: uncultured bacterium
Lineage: Bacteria
Description: partial 16S ribosomal RNA
Rfam family: Bacterial small subunit ribosomal RNA
Source: RNAcentral
UACAGAGGGUGCAAGCGUUGUCCGGAAUCACUGGGCGUAAAGGGCGCGUAGGCGGCCUGAUAAGUAGGGGGUGAAAUCCUGGGGCCUAACCUCAGGGCUGCCUUCUAGACUGUCCGGCUCGAGCACAGUAGAGGCAGGUGGAAUUCCCGGUGUAGCGGUGGAAUGCGUAGAGAUCGGGAAGAACAUCGGUGGCGAAGGCGGCCUGCUGGGCUGUUGCUGACGCUGAGGCGCGACAGCGUGGGGAGCAAACAGG